RNAcentral lists this ribosomal RNA (922 nucleotides) under uncultured bacterium. RNAcentral describes it as "bacterial SSU rRNA". It matches the Rfam family "Bacterial small subunit ribosomal RNA", at positions 1 to 916 of the family's 1533-position model. The record is from RNAcentral.
CCUUAGAGUUUGAUCCUGGCUCAGGAUGAACGCUAGCUACAGGCUUAACACAUGCAAGUCGAGGGGAAACGACAUCGAAAGCUUGCUUUCGAUGGGCGUCGACCGGCGCACGGGUGAGUAACGCGUAUCCAACCUGCCCAUCACUUGGGGAUAACCUUGCGAAAGUAAGACUAAUACCCAAUGACGUCUCUAGAAGACAUCUGAAGGAGAUUAAAGAUUUAUCGGUGAUGGAUGGGGAUGCGUCUGAUUAGCUUGUUGGCGGGGUAACGGCCCACCAAGGCGACGAUCAGUAGGGGUUCUGAGAGGAAGGUCCCCCACAUUGGAACUGAGACACGGUCCAAACUCCUACGGGAGGCAGCAGUGAGGAAUAUUGGUCAAUGGGCGAGAGCCUGAACCAGCCAAGUAGCGUGCAGGAUGACGGCCCUAUGGGUUGUAAACUGCUUUUAUAAGGGAAUAAAGUGAGCCUCGUGAGGCUUUUUGCAUGUACCUUAUGAAUAAGGACCGGCUAAUUCCGUGCCAGCAGCCGCGGUAAUACGGAAGGUCCGGGCGUUAUCCGGAUUUAUUGGGUUUAAAGGGAGCGUAGGCCGGAGAUUAAGCGUGUUGUGAAAUGUAGACGCUCAACGUCUGCACUGCAGCGCGAACUGGUUUCCUUGAGUACGCACAAAGUGGGCGGAAUUCGUGGUGUAGCGGUGAAAUGCUUAGAUAUCACGAAGAACUCCGAUUGCGAAGGCAGCUCACUGGAGCGCAACUGACGCUGAAGCUCGAAAGUGCGGGUAUCGAACAGGAUUAGAUACCCUGGUAGUCCGCACGGUAAACGAUGGAUGCCCGCUGUUGGUCUGAAUAGGUCAGCGGCCAAGCGAAAGCAUUAAGCAUCCCACCUGGGGAGUACGCCGGCAACGGUGAAACUCAAAGGAAUUGACGG